GCCUUCGUGGUGUAAUGGUUAGCACACUCGACGCGUAUUCAAGAGGUCCAGGUUCGCAUCCUGUCGAGGGCA
Molecule: transfer RNA, 72 nt
Filed under: Stegodyphus mimosarum
Lineage: Eukaryota; Metazoa; Arthropoda; Arachnida; Araneae; Eresidae
Rfam family: tRNA
About the family: Transfer RNA (tRNA) molecules are approximately 80 nucleotides in length. Their secondary structure includes four short double-helical elements and three loops (D, anti-codon, and T loops). Further hydrogen bonds mediate the characteristic L-shaped molecular structure. tRNAs have two regions of fundamental functional importance: the anti-codon, which is responsible for specific mRNA codon recognition, and the 3' end, to which the tRNAs corresponding amino acid is attached (by aminoacyl-tRNA synthetases). tRNAs cope with the degeneracy of the genetic code in two manners: having more than one tRNA (with a specific anti-codon) for a particular amino acid; and 'wobble' base-pairing, i.e. permitting non-standard base-pairing at the 3rd anti-codon position.
Source: Rfam by way of RNAcentral